Non-coding RNA from Styela clava, 471 nucleotides. The record is from RefSeq and is a predicted model, not a curated record. NCBI's taxonomy places the organism in Eukaryota, Metazoa, Chordata, Ascidiacea, Stolidobranchia, Styelidae.
CAGCAUGGCCACUCGCAGCUUUCGUGGCCUAUCAGUUACGGUUAAAGAUAUUAUGCUGGGAUUUUUAUUUUGCGUGAGAGGCCAAUAGGACAGUUGGAUGGGGUAGGCUAGGUCGUUGUUUUUUACAGUUGGAUUACAGAGUGAAUUGCUGUUAUGAGAGAAUGGAAUUUAGCUUUCACCUGCUACAUUCUGACAGUGCUAACAGUUUCGGAGCGGUUGUCCGUUGUCGCUACCUGCCAUCUGCAUUGAAGUUUAUCUCUCAAAAUUAAUUGUCGAGGAAUUUCCAAAGCUGAAGUUGAAGAGGGAACAACCGGAUAUGGCCAUUAUUAUGAUCCUCUUCGUGGUUCCGGCUUUAUAGAAAACAAGCUCAAAACUUUACGAAAACAAAUGGAAAUAGAAGAUAAGAUGUAUAAAAAACAAAAGAGAAGCCACUCAACAUAUGCAAGUAGUUCCAGUUUUGGGAGUAGCGAA